Molecule: transfer RNA, 71 nt
Filed under: Camelus bactrianus (Bactrian camel)
Lineage: Eukaryota; Metazoa; Chordata; Mammalia; Artiodactyla; Camelidae
Also listed under: 1 other name
Rfam family: tRNA
About the family: Transfer RNA (tRNA) molecules are approximately 80 nucleotides in length. Their secondary structure includes four short double-helical elements and three loops (D, anti-codon, and T loops). Further hydrogen bonds mediate the characteristic L-shaped molecular structure. tRNAs have two regions of fundamental functional importance: the anti-codon, which is responsible for specific mRNA codon recognition, and the 3' end, to which the tRNAs corresponding amino acid is attached (by aminoacyl-tRNA synthetases). tRNAs cope with the degeneracy of the genetic code in two manners: having more than one tRNA (with a specific anti-codon) for a particular amino acid; and 'wobble' base-pairing, i.e. permitting non-standard base-pairing at the 3rd anti-codon position.
Source: Rfam by way of RNAcentral
GAGGGUCUCGCUCUGUGGUAGAGCGUGUGCUUAGCAUGCACAAGGCCCUGGGUUCAGUCCCCAGUCCCUCC